UCCAUGAAUGGACCUUAGGUUAAAUUUUAUUAUGUGAUUAAUUAAAUUUAAAUGUGAGAGACAUUAAAUUUAAUUAAUCAAUGUUAAGUUUGGUGAUUAAAACUUAAUAAGAGUGAAAAAAGGUGUCAAAAGCCAAUUUGGACUUUUCUUCUUAUGAAACCUUUAUUAACCUUUAUAAAAAAAAAUAAAAAAAAAAAUUUAAUGAUCACAUAUAUGGCAAAGAGUGGCCGGCCAUGUUCUAUUUUAGAGUGGUGUGAACCCAAUUUUAUAAAGUUUAACUCCCAUUUUAAUUAAGAAGUCAAGUGGGCAAGUGGGUAGAAAAGCACUCUCAAGUGUUUUGUGAUAUUUUGAAGAGUUGUGUGAGCCAUUCUAACCCCCAAAUCCGACCACUCUCCCUCCCUCAUUCACUCUCAUCUGAUUUUUGAGGACUCUCUCAAGUGUUCUCUCCAUUUUCAACCCCAAGAACACCAAAGAAACUUGGAAGCUAAGUCUUGGUCUAGGAAGGGUUUUCCCUAAGUUGGUUAGGGUUUUUGAAAGGUUUUGGAGGAGCCAAAGCUAAUAGGAAGGUCCAAACCUUAAGCAAGAACACCAAAGAGUAUUGGCUAAGCGUAACUGGACUGAACGUUGGAGGGUGAAAACUUGCUGAGCGCUAAGGACUCCAA
Molecule: long non-coding RNA, 662 nt
Organism: Humulus lupulus (European hop)
Lineage: Eukaryota; Viridiplantae; Streptophyta; Magnoliopsida; Rosales; Cannabaceae
Exons: 3
Source: RefSeq, a predicted model, not a curated record